GAUGAACGCUGGCGGCGUGCUUAACACAUGCCAGUCGAACGGUGAAGCCAAGCUUGCUUGGUGGAUCAGUGGCGAACGGGUGAGUAACACGUGAGCAACCUGCCCUGGACUCUGGGAUAAGCGCUGGAAACGGCGUCUAAUACUGGAUAUGAGCCUCUUCCGCAUGGUGGGGGUUGGAAAGAUUUUUUGGUCUGGGAUGGGCUCGCGGCCUAUCAGCUUGUUGGUGAGGUAAUGGCUCACCAAGGCGUCGACGGGUAGCCGGCCUGAGAGGGUGACCGGCCACACUGGGACUGAGACACGGCCCAGACUCCUACGGGAGGCAGCAGUGGGGAAUAUUGCACAAUGGGCGAAAGCCUGAUGCAGCAACGCCGCGUGAGGGAUGACGGCCUUCGGGUUGUAAACCUCUUUUAGCAGGGAAGAAGCGAAAGUGACGGUACCUGCAGAAAAAGCGCCGGCUAACUACGU
RNAcentral lists this ribosomal RNA (465 nucleotides) under uncultured bacterium. RNAcentral's name for it is "partial 16S ribosomal RNA". It matches the Rfam family "Bacterial small subunit ribosomal RNA", at positions 28 to 506 of the family's 1533-position model. The record is from RNAcentral.